AUUGAACGCUGGCGGAAUGCUUUACACAUGCAAGUCGAACGGCAGCACGGGGGCAACCCUGGUGGCGAGUGGCGAACGGGUGAGUAAUGUAUCGGAACGUGCCCAGUCGUGGGGGAUAACGUAGUGAAAAUUACGCUAAUACCGCAUACGAUCUACGGAUGAAAGCGGGGGAUCGCAAGACCUCGCGCGAUUGGAGCGGCCGAUAUCAGAUUAGGUAGUUGGUGGGGUAAAGGCUCACCAAGCCGACGAUCUGUAGCUGGUCUGAGAGGACGACCAGCCACACUGGAACUGAGACACGGUCCAGACUCCUACGGGAGGCAGCAGUGGGGAAUUUUGGACAAUGGGCGCAAGCCUGAUCCAGCCAUUCCGCGUGCAGGAUGAAGGCCCUCGGGUUGUAAACUGCUUUUGUACGGAGCGAAAAGGCUCUCUCUAAUACAGGGGGCUCAUGACGGUACCGUAAGAAUAAGCACCGGCUAACUACGUGCCAGCAGCCGGUAAACG
RNAcentral lists this ribosomal RNA (501 nucleotides) under uncultured bacterium. RNAcentral describes it as "bacterial SSU rRNA". It matches the Rfam family "Bacterial small subunit ribosomal RNA", at positions 30 to 527 of the family's 1533-position model. The record is from RNAcentral.